UACGAAGGGAGCUAGCGUUGUUCGGAAUCACUGGGCGUAAAGCGCACGUAGGCGGAUUUGUCAGUCAGGGGUGAAAUCCCGGGGCUCAACCUCGGAACUGCAUCCGAGACUGCAUUGCUAGAGUAUGGGAGAGGGAAGCGGAAUUUCUGGUGUAGCAGUGAAAUGCGUAGAUAUCAGAAGGAACAUCAGUGGCGAAGGCGG
Molecule: ribosomal RNA, 201 nt
Filed under: uncultured prokaryote
Description: partial 16S ribosomal RNA
Rfam family: Bacterial small subunit ribosomal RNA
Source: RNAcentral